AUCAUUCCCCCACCCCACCCCUUCUUUAGUCCCAUCUGAAGCAGGAACUUCUGUCUAUUUGGUUUAGGUCUAGGCAGGGUCAGCUUCAUUGCUUACGGGAUAGGAUUCAGCAGACUUGAUGCUAUGAUAGACUCUGGGCAAUCCGUAAGAUGCUGAUGGUGGUGACUUCCUAUGAGAACGUUUGCUUCUGGAAUCCAGCUGCCAGGCUGUCAUGAGGCUGGCACAAGCCUGCAGAGAGAUACAAGAGGACAGCCAUCCGUAACCCAGGAAGUGAGCCUUCUCCAGUCUCCGUCAUUCUGGUACCCUGGACUUGUAACAUUUCCAACUAUGAGCAAGGAAGGUUAAGGCACUGCACGGAUACCUACAUCAGCGAACUACCUUGGGAGUGAACUCUUCCCCAGUCAAGCUUCCUCAACAGAUGUUGGGGUGGCUCAGAGUCUGCACCCCUACCAAGCCUGCUCACGUUGCAGAUUUGUGAACUAAACAAAUGACCUCUGUUCUUGUAAGUUACUAAGUCUGGGGUGACUGGGUAGAUGACUUGUAACAGUUGUAGAUAUGUCUCUGUGUAUGAAGAAACAGCUUGGAAUGGGGCAUUUGUACUGAAAUUUCACCAGUCACACAGUGUCAAAACAA
Molecule: long non-coding RNA, 633 nt
Organism: Peromyscus eremicus (cactus mouse)
Lineage: Eukaryota; Metazoa; Chordata; Mammalia; Rodentia; Cricetidae
Exons: 2
Source: RefSeq, a predicted model, not a curated record